UAACUAGUGGAAAGAAGAUGACGCUUU
RNAcentral lists this small RNA (27 nucleotides) under Bombyx mori (domestic silkworm). Its description in RNAcentral is "ovarian small RNA-18960". The record is from RNAcentral. Lineage: Eukaryota; Metazoa; Arthropoda; Insecta; Lepidoptera; Bombycidae.